This 459-nucleotide ribosomal RNA is filed under the name uncultured bacterium. RNAcentral's name for it is "partial 16S ribosomal RNA". It matches the Rfam family "Bacterial small subunit ribosomal RNA", at positions 338 to 795 of the family's 1533-position model. The record is from RNAcentral.
CCUACGGGAGGCAGCAGUGAGGAAUAUUGGUCAAUGGGCGAGAGCCUGAACCAGCCAAGUCGCGUGAAGGAUGACGGCCCUACGGGUUGUAAACCUCUUUUGUCGGGGAGCAAAAGACGCCACGCGUGGCGUUCCGAGAGUACCCGAAGAAAAAGCAUCGGCCAACUCCGUGCCAGCAGCCGCGGUAAUACGGAGGAUGCGAGCGUUAUCCGGAUUUAUUGGGUUUAAAGGGUGCGCAGGCGGAAGAUCAAGUCAGCGGUAAAAUUGAGAGGCUCAACCUCUUCGAGCCGUUGAAACUGGUUUGCUUGAGUGAGUGAGAAGUAUGCAGAAUGCGUGGUGUAGCGGUGAAAUGCAUAGAUAUCACGCAGAACUCCGAUUGCGAAGGCAGCAUACCGGCGCUCAACUGACGCUCAUGCACGAAAGUGUGGGUAUCGAACAGGAUUAGAUACCCGAGUAGUC